UUGGUUACAACCCUGACAAAAUCCCCUUCGUUCCAAUCUCUGGUUUUGAGGGAGACAACAUGAUUGAGAGGUCCACCAACCUUGACUGGUACAAGGGACCAACUCUCCUUGAGGCUCUUGACCAGAUCAACGAGCCCAAGAGACCCUCAGACAAGCCCCUCAGACUUCCAUUGCAAGAUGUUUACAAGAUCGGUGGUAUUGGAACUGUGCCAGUCGGACGUGUUGAGACUGGAGUCAUCAAGCCUGGUGUGAUCGUCACCUUUGGCCCUACUGGUCUGACAACUGAAGUUAAGUCUGUUGAGAUGCACCACGAGGCUCUCACCGAAGCUCUCCCCGGAGACAAUGUUGGAUUCAAUGUUAAGAAUGUUGCAGUGAAGGAUCUCAAACGUGGUUUCGUUGCAUCCAACUCCAAGGAUGACCCUGCUAAGGAAGCUGCCAACUUCACUUCCCAAGUCAUCAUCAUGAACCAUCCAGGACAGAUCGGAAACGGUUAUGCCCCAGUCCUCGACUGUCACACCUCCCACAUUGCUGUUAAGUUCGCUGAGCUUCUCACCAAGAUCGACAGGCGAUCUGGUAAGGAACUUGAGAAGGAGCCUAAGUUUUUGAAGAAUGGUGAUGCUGGUCUUGUUAAGAUGAUUCCAACCAAGCCUAUGGUUGUGGAAACUUUCUCCGAGUAUCCACCACUUGGUCGUUUCGCCGUGAGGGACAUGCGUCAAACUGUUGCUGUCGGUGUCAUCAAGAGUGUUGAGAAGAAGGAUCCAACUGGAGCCAAGAUCACCAAAGCUGCAGUGAAGAAGAAGUGAUGGUUGAUGCAGAAGUGGAUGUUGCUUUAUAGUAGCUUAUUAUCUUUUAAGAGUCUUAGUUUAUUUUUGCCUUUUAAUUUUGCCGUUUUUAUGCAGCCAAACUUGCAAAACUGGGUUCUUGAUCGGCGAUGGUCGACCUUUAUUUUGUGGUUGUUUUGAUUUUGAUGGUACUGUUUUUGAAUUAAAUUAUGAGUCUUGAGAACUUAUUUUCAGAGGCACAUCUUAAUUUUUAAUUAUGUCUGUUUAAUGAUGUGUUUUUUAAAUUAAUGUGCUAUUUUCUGGUUGCUUUUAGUUUAUUUUACAAGUUAUAUUUAUUAAAGUAAAAUUCAUGGUUCCUUGGAAUUAUUACAAUUUAUUUGAAGAAAGUGUGAUACAAAAGUGUUUGAUGGACAAGGAUAAUUAAUUUUUUCUUUGAUUUAUUACAGUUUUAUUUGAAAGAAGUUUUAAAAAAUAAAAAUAUGUAAAUAUUUCAGUUUUAUUUGACAAGUAAAAAAUAGAAUAAAUCCUGAUUAUUGAUUAUUACAUUUCACAUUUAAUAUUAUAUCAAUGUCAUACGAAACAAAAUAUAAUUGAACAUCAGCAAUGCUUUAUUUUUUCUUUAACUUAUGUUGUUAUUAUUAAAAGUUAUUGAAAAUAAAAUGUUCAAAUAAUAUUAAAUUUAGAAUGACUGAAUUCAACACAAAUGUUAUUUCGAUAAUCUAAUAGUAAAAGAAUUCGAAAAAUGCUUUUUAUUUUAAUUUUUCGGUUACAUUCCAAAUAAUUACUUAACAACUUCUAUCAUCGUUAUUAUAACUAGUAAGGUAUAUAGGUAAAAAUAUACUAAUAUAUCUAGUUAUUUUAAUUUAAAUUAUAUUAUUUUUAUAUUUUAAUUUUGAUAAUAAUGAGUUUAGUAAAAAAAAAUCAUUAUUAAAUUUUUAACUAAAUGCUGCAAAUUUUAUUAUUAAAAAUUCUGUUAAAUACUACAAGUCGUUCAAAAAAUACUAAUCAAAUUUUAUAAAUUUUUAUAUUUUUUAAUUUAUUUACAACAAUUUAUCAUAUUUAAUUUGUUUUACAUAUAAAGUAAUUUGAAUAAUUAAUUUAUUGUGACGUUUUGAUUAGAUGUUAACAUAUACAGUUAUUUAAAAAGAAAUUAAAUUUAAAAAAUUAGAUGUAUAAUUUAAUAUAAUUUAAAAACUAAUAAUAUAAAAUGAAUAUAAUUUAAAUGAUAUUAAUUUAUUUUUAUCCUAUGUGUUUGGUUUUUAUUACUUUUUCGGUGCCUUAUAAUAGCCUGUUGAUAUAUGAUUCCUUUUUAAUGAGCAAAUAUUUAACCUAUGCUAGUGUAGUCACCAAAUAUUUUGAACUUAUAGCAAUAUUUAAAAAGAAGUAAUAGAAGCAAUACCAAUUCUAUCUCUAUUAAAGAAUGGUGGUUUGACAAAUUUAAUAUUGUUUGGUGGACUAAUGAUGUUGUUUUGGGUGGAGAACCACGUCCAUCUUUUAUCUACAAAUAUAUAUCAAAGUAAACACGACAAAACAUAGAAAAAGAAAAUUCAAAUAAAUAUUCUAAAAAUAUAAUGGAUACUUGUCAACUCAAAUAGAAAAAAUCUGAAAUCAAAAUGCAUAUAGAAUGACAAAAGAAGAGAUAUAAUGAGAGGGAAGAGCAUAUGAGAGGAUAAAUAUAUAUCGGAGAUUCAACUCCCUAAUUAUGCACAUAUAUGAAAGGAAUAUGAAUACUAAUUACUAACUCAAAUUGUGGUGAAAAAUAAUUGUUUUAACAAUUAUAUGAUUUUUUAUUUCUUUUAAAUUUAGAAUAAUUGCAAUCAAUGUCUAUUGAUACUAAAAGGUUGUACUAUGAAAAAAGUUUGUGAUCCACGUAAUAUUUGAGGUUUGUAAUUCUAUAAAAAAUUAUAAUUAUAUUUUUUUUUCUUUCAAAUGUGUGCACAAUGAGAGUGUGAUUAAAUAACCUCUAUAAAGAAAAUAAGUUUUAUUUAUUUAUUUGUUUAUUAUCUUAAUAAGUGAGAGCCGAAUUGCAUAAUAAUGUGAAACAUGAUUUUGUUGUAGUAAUUCAUUUAAAAGGAUUUGUUAAUGUAUAUAUAUAUAUAUAAACAAAAUUUAGAGUCUAUAGAAUAGCACCCUAUCAAAUAAAUAUAAUAUAUUAAGAAUUUAUAAAUUUUAGAUAUAAUCAUGUUGAUUAAUAGGUUUUAAAACAUAAUUAUUUAUAGAAAAAGUAGUGAAAGUAAGUUAAGUGCAAAAUAGUUUGUUUAAUGUGAUUGUCUAUAUAUAUUUACUUGUAAAAUGUUCAUUCUCGUAUCUUAUAAUUUAUAAAUAUAUUAUAGUAAUCGAAGGUAGAUAUUUAAAAAAAAAAAUGUUAAUGUGUCAUUUCUAUCAAAAUAUUCAUACUUAUUUCUAAAUAAUGUUGUAGCACUUUUUAGGAAACCGUUUUUUUUUGUAAAACUACAUUAUUCUAUUAGAUUUAUUGAAAUUGAUAUAAUUUCAUUUUUUUAGACAAGGGAUAUGAUUUAGUUGUAAUUUUCCAAUUCUAAUAUGUAAUAUUUAAUUGAUUUAUCAUCCAUUCAUUAUAUUAUAUUAUUUAGAUACAAAAUUUCUAAAUUAAUCAUUUAUCUUACCAAAUUGCAAAUUGAUACAUAUAUCUUAUAAUAAACUACAACUAGAGAACUGCUCUACAAUAUUUAAAAUACUAAAAUACCCUUAGUAAAAUUAAAAUUCACAUUAUAUAAUCAGCAUAAACCCAAUUCACAAAUUAAGCACUAUUAGAUAAUAUUAUUAUAUAUUAGUAGUAAGGGUAUUUUAGAUAUUUUCUAUUUUCUUCUAUAUAUACUCAUUGUAACCCUAUUAACUUUAGUUUUGGUUUAUUAUAUGAUAUGAAACCCUAGAGUGGUUAUUUUCUCUUCUUCCUCUUUCUUCCUAUUUUUCAUUGUUAACAUGGUAUCAGAGCUUUGGUUGAUUUUGGGAUCUACCGUAGAGAAGAGAGAGACUAUUUUGAUAGGAAAGACAACCACCAAAAGAGAAAAGAGAAGAGUAACCCUAUUCCCGAUUUUGUUAAAUCAGUCUCAGAAAAACAUCGAUUGCGCAUUCGUUAACCAUUGGAUCGGUCUGAUUUUUGGACAGCAGGUUCGCAACAUAUAGGUCUUCGUCUUCAACGGUCGGAUCGACGAAACGACGUCUGGAGAGGGAGAAAUCGUGCUCGCACAGCACCAGGUUAUUCUUAAUUUAUUUUCUCUCAGUGAUUGUGUUUGUCGUAUUUUUCUGUCAUUAUUUGUUAUGGCUGGUGUUAAGGAUGAUUCUCUUCAAGCUGUUAGUGUUCACCUCAAUGGACAAAAUUACUCUUAUUGGAGUUAUGUGAUGAAAAAUUUUUUGAUUGGAAAAGAUAUGUGGGGUUUUGUUGAUGGAACUUCUGUUAAGCCUACAGAUAAAAAGGAUGAAACUCAAUAUGCAAAAGAUCUGAAAACAUGGAAUGUUAGUAAUUCAAAAAUUAUUACUUGGAUUAAUAAUUCUGUUGAGUUGUCUAUAGGAGUACAACUAGCAAAAUAUGAUACUGCUAAAGAGAUUUGGGAUCACUUGAAACGUUUGUAUGUUCAGUCUAACUUUGCAAAACGUUAUCAGUUAGAAAGUGAUAUUAGAGCCCUUAAGCAGAGCAGUAUGACCAUUCAGGAAUUCUAUUCGGCAAUGACUAAUCUGUGGGAUCAAUUGGCUCUUAUGGAAUCACCUGAGUUGAAAGCUGUCAAAGCAUACAUUGAUCAAAGAGAGGAGCAACGUCUGGUUUGGUUUCUAAUGGCUCUUCGUGAUGAUUUUGAGGGCCUUCGUGGGGGUAUUUUGCAUCGUUCCCCCCUUCCUAAUGUUGAAUCAGUAGUUAGUGAAUUGUUGGCAGAAGAAAUCAGACUUAAGACUCAUUCUGGUAUGUUAAAUAAGGAAAUUCUCUCAGCUCCUCCAUCUGUUUUUGUUGCUCCUGUUCAAAAAAAAACAUCUCAAGGGAGAGUUGGGCUUGGUAAUGAUGAAUGUGCAUUCUGCAAAGAAAAAGGUCAUUGGAAAGCACGUUGUCCGAAAUUGGGGAGAACACAUCGUCUGUGUCAGUUAUGACUGCUGAUGGCACUCCUAUGCCACUAGCAGGCAUUGGUUCUGUCUCCACACCUAACUUGUCUCUUUCUAAUGUUUAUUAUAUUCCUAAUCUUACUUUGAGUCUUGCUUCUGUUAGUCAAAUAUGUGAUUUCGGUUAUUCGGUUACGUUUUCUUCCACUUCUUGUUGUGUGCAGGAUCCACAUUCUGGGAGGCUGAUUGGGACAGGCCAUAGACAGGGGGGACUUUACGUUUUGGAUGAACUACGACUCCCAGAUAUUGCAGCCUCAACAACUACUGCUGACUUAUUAUCUAGUUUUCGCUUGAAUUCAUUAUCUUCUAGUUUUUAUUUAUGGCAUUCUCGCCUUGGACAUGUUUCUGCUUCUAGAUUAAAAUAUUUGGCUUCUACUGGAGCCUUAGGAAAGUUAAAACCCUGUGAUAUCUCAGAUUGUUGUGGUUGUAAACUUGCUAAAUUUCCAGCUUUACCGUUUAGUAAAAGUGUUUCCGUUUCAUAUGCGCCUUUUGAUUUAGUUCACUCUGAUGUUUGGGGUCCAUCACCGGUGCUCACCAAAGGUGGAUCUAGAUAUUAUGUUUCGUUUAUUGAUGAUUACACUCGUUAUUGUUGGGUUUAUCUUAUGAAAAAUCGGUCUGAAUUUUUUGACAUUUAUCAUAUAUUUCGUGCAAUGGUCAAAACUCAACAUAAUUCUGUUAUAAAGUGUUUUCGUUGUGAUUUAGGUGGUGAAUAUACCUCUAAUAAAUUUUCUGAAUUACUUGCUUAUGAUGGCACUCGCCACCAAACAUCUUGUACUGAUACUCCUCAACAAAAUGGAGUUGCUGAAAGGAAACAUCGUCACAUUAUAGAGACUGCUCGUUCCCUUUUGUUGUCCGCUUCAGUUCCUAGUGAGUUUUGGGGAGAAGCAGUUCUUACUGCUGUUCAUGCUAUUAAUAGAAUUCCAUCCUCUAUCAUAUCAGGUUUGUCUCCCUUUGAAAAAUUAUAUGCUUCUACCCCUGAUUACUAUUCUUUGAAAGUUUUUGGUUCUACUUGUUUUGUUCUUCGCCCUCAAGUAGAGCGCAGUAAGUUGUCUUCUCGUUCAGCCAUGUGUGUUUUUCUUGGUUAUGGGGAUGGUCAAAAGGGUUAUCGUUGUUAUGAUCCUCAUGCAAGAAAACUUUAUGUAUCUCGUAAUGUUGUUUUUCUUGAGCACAUUCCUUUUUACUCUGUUUCCUCUGAUUCGCAGAUUACUAAGAGUUCUGAACUAACCCAUAUUGAUCCGUUUGGUCCUAAUGAUAGCGCUUCUAGUGAUUGUACUAUUGAGAAUUGCAGGACAAAUACUACUACUCCACAUGAUGACAUCCCUCUUGUCCCCCCGGCUGUCCAACCACCUCCUGCGAUUGUUGAUCCUCCUCGUUACCCUUCUCGUCAACGUAAGUCUACUCAGUUACCUGAUUUUGUCUAUUCAACUUACUCAGCUUCGUUUGCUUCUUUCUUAACCUCUAUUCACAGUUUGUCUGAGCCCUCUUCCUAUAAAGAGGCUGUUCUUGAUCCUCUUUGGCAGCAGGCUAUGGCAGAAGAACUAUCUGCAUUGCACAAAACCAACACUUGGGAAUUAGUACCUCUUCCUCCUGGAAAACGUGCUAUUGGGUCUCGUUGGGUAUACAAGAUCAAAACUAAGUCUGAUGGGUCAGUUGAGCGCUACAAAGCACGUCUUGUUGCUAAGGGUUUCUCUCAACAAUAUGGUAUGGAUUAUGAAGAAACUUUUGCUCCUGUAGCCAAGAUGACCACUAUUCGUACUCUUAUUGCAGUUGCAUCUAUUCGUCAAUGGCAUAUUUCCCAAAUGGAUGUCAAAAAUGCCUUUUUAAAUGGUGAGCUUCAUGAAGAAGUCUAUAUGGUCCCUCCACAAGGAGUUUCUCAUGAUCCAGGGGAAGUAUGUAAGUUAAAAAAGGCUCUAUAUGGUCUUAAACAAGCUCCUCGAGCUUGGUUUGAGAAAUUCUCUACUGUGAUCACUUCUCUUGGUUUUCGCUCUAGUGAACAUGAUUCUGCAUUGUUUAUAAGGUCCACCACUCAUGGUCGCAUUAUACUUUCUCUAUAUGUUGAUGAUAUGAUUAUUACAGGUGAUGAUGUUAGUGGAAUUAAUGAGUUGAAAUUGCAGUUAGCCAAACAGUUUGAGAUGAAGGACUUGGGAACUCUUCGCUAUUUCUUGGGGAUUGAAGUUGCCUACUCUCCUAGAGGCUACCUUCUUUCUCAAUCCAAGUACAUUGCCAACAUUCUUGAUCAGGCUCGUCUUUCUGAUACUAGAGCAGCAGAUACUCCUCUUGAGUUGAAUGUAAAAUAUGCUCCCUCGGAUGGUGUUCCUUUACCAGAUUCCACUUUGUAUCGUACUUUGGUUGGCAGCUUAGUGUAUCUUACGAUUACCAGACCUGACAUUGCUUAUGCUGUUCAUGUUGUUAGUCAGUUUGUUGUCUCCCCCACUACAGUACAUUGGGCAGCAGUUCUUCGGAUUCUUCGUUAUCUUCGAGGAACUCAAUUUCAAAGUCUUCUCUUUCCAUCGUCAUCCUCAUUGGAGUUACGAGCUUAUUCUGAUGCUGAUUGGGCUGGUGAUACCACUGAUCGUAAAUCCACCACAGGGUUUUGUAUCUUUCUUGGAGACUCUCUUAUUUCUUGGAAGAGUAAGAAACAAGACAUUGUCUCUCGCUCUUCUACAGAAGCUGAAUAUCGUGCUAUGGCAUCCACUACCGCUGAAAUAAUUUGGUUGCGUUGGCUUUUGUCUGAUAUGGGUAUCUCUCUUGCUGAGCCAACUCCGAUGCACUGUGAUAACAAGAGUGCUAUUCAAAUUGCUCACAACUCGGUCUUUCAUGAACGCACCAAACACAUUGAGAUUGAUUGUCAUUUUACUCGUCAUCAUCUUCAGCAUGGAACUAUUACUCUACCAUUUGUCCCUUCUUCUUUACAGAUUGCUGAUUUGUUCACAAAGAUGCAUUCCAUUAAACAUUUCUGUUUUUUAGUUGACAAACUCUCGAUGCUCCCUGUUAAUGCAUCGUGAGUUUGAGGGGAGAUAUUAGAUAAUAUUAUUAUAUAUUAGUAGUAAGGGUAUUUUAGAUAUUUUCUAUUUUCUUCUAUAUAUACUCAUUGUAACCCUAUUAACUUUAGUUUUGGUUUAUUAUAUGAUAUGAAACCCUAGAGUGGUUAUUUUCUCUUCUUCCUCUUUCUUCCUAUUUUUCAUUGUUAACAAGCACAAACUCAAAAAGAAAUGAUAACUAUCUCAUAGCCACCACAACCCUAUAUCAUGAAAAGCCACAAUUGAGUUUGCAUAAUGCGAUUCAAUAUUGCUAUACAACUAACAAUUUGAUAGAGCUAGUGGAAGAUAAAUCAUAUAAGAAUGGAUAUGCGAAUACUAAAGAGUAUGGUGUUUAGUUUUCUUCUUUUACCUAUUUAACCAUAUAUGUAUAUAAAAAAUUCAAAUAAUUGUCUACUUACCUAUUUAACUAUUUAACCAUAUAUAUUUUAACCAUAAUUUAUCUAUAAAGAAUUAUAGUUAUAGAAAUAUAAGUAUUGAAAUUUUUAAAAUUGAGGAGGAAAUGACACGUAGGAUUUAGUUUUAGGAGAGACUGAUACAUAGAUUUUGCUCUUAAUAAAGGAUUUACAAAAAUAUAGAUUAUAUUAUAAAUUAUUAUUAAUAUUAUAUAGAUAAAUAUGGAUACAUAUGGUAUUAAUAAAAUAAAAAUGGAAAUAAAUCGAUCUUAGAAAAGUGAUUUGGGAAUUAAAUCAACAAAAAUAUCAAGCGAGAAUGACAUUGCAAGUUUACUGCAAAUUAUUGAAAGACAUUAGUAAGUCCAAUAUCCCUUAUUUUCUAUUUUGAAAACAAUAUACUACAAUAUAACUUUUAUUUAUUUAUGAAAACUACAAUAAGAUUUUGAAGCAAAUAAUGAUAACAUAGAUUCAUAUGUAAAAAGAAUAAAGUACACCAAAACCUCAUCAAAGUUUGCCUAAGUAAAUAAAGCCUACCUUUGAACAUUUUUGCAUAAGCCUCCAUAAAAUUAGAUGAAACCUUCAUAAACCUUUUGGUGUCGACAAAUACCUUAUUUUUUUUAGUAUGAAUUGAAAAUAAAGAACAAAAGGAAUUCGUAAUUAUAAAUUGUAUUAAACAAAUUAGUCUAUAGACAUAAUUGUUAAGUAACUUGUAAUUCAAAUAAUGUAACAAUUGAAGGUUGUAACUAACUAACCAAUUAGUUAGUUAAUCAGUUAAUUAGAUGGUAGUUAGAAUGUAUAAGAAUAACCUAUGUACAAAUAAGUCUUACCAUUCAUUCAUCUAGUACAUUUUAUGUUUUCUUUGAUGUACAAGUAACAACUUGAUAACUAACAAUUGGUAUCAGAGCAAGUGGUUUUUGAUCCAAAUCAUAGUAACAAACACGAGUGAAGUGUGAGGAUUAAAACACAAGUGAAGUAAAGAAGAAUUCAAGAGAAAAUAAUGGAAAUUUCAAGUCAAUAUGCCACACUUUGAUGGAAAAGAUUGGGAUAAACAAAGCGUCCAAAUUUGAGCAUUAUUUGGAUUUCAAGAAGUAUUAGAAAUCAUAGAAAAUGAUUUUGAGGAUCUCGGAGCUAAUCCAAAAAAGGUAUAGAGAUCAAGUUUUAAAGAAAACAAGAAGAAAUAUUGCAAAGUUACAUUCAUUCUUCAUCAAUGCCUUGAUACAACCAACUUUGACAAGAUGUCUUAUGUAAGAAAUGCAAAAGAAGUAUGAGACAUUCUUGAGAAGUGUUAUUCAUGAGGAACCAAGGUAAAGAAGGUGAAGUUGCAUACCUUACAAAGGAAGUUUGAGCUGUAGUGAAGAGAGGAACAAUAAAAGGUAUCAGACUUGAUUUCAAGAUUAAGAACCAUCACAAAUCAGAUGGUUGGUUGUAGUGAGAAGUUGACUGAACAAAAAUUCUAUGAGAAUACUCUAAGAUAAUUAGAAGCUGAAGGUGUUGGCAACAUGGUAAUCAAAAGAAGAAAUGAAAAGACAACGGUGAUUGAAAAUGUGUUGUAUGUGCAAGGGAUGAAAAACAAUUUGUUGAGCAUAGGCCAGCUGAUUCAGAAAGGAUUUCAAGUAAUUAUGAAGAAUGAUUCACUAGAAAUGUAUGAUAGACAAAAGAAGAUGAUACCGAAGGUUCUCCUAUCAAAGAACAUAACCUUUGUCAUAAACAUACAAGCUUUAGACAUCCAAUAUUUGAAGCCAGUGAGCUCAAUUGAUGAGAACUUGUUAUGGCAUUCAAGGUUUGGUCAUCUGAAUUUUAGAAGUUUGCAGCAACUAGGAAAAAAGAAGACAGUAAGUGACAUUCAUGUGAUUGAUGUUCUUGAGAAGGUGUGUGAUGUGUGUAUGAAAGGAAAACAAUAAAGGAACUCAUUCAAAUCACAAGUGCAAGCAAGAGCAAAUGAUUGUCUUUAAGUGGUUCAUAGUGACGUCUGUGGAUCAAUUGAGGUGCCAUCAUUAGGAGGCAAUAAGUACUUCAUAACAUUUCUUGAUGAAUUUAGUAGAAUGUUGUGGAUUUAUUUGAUAAAGACCAAAGGUAAAACAUUUGAAAAUGUUAAAGAAUUUCAGAGUGAAAGUUGAAAAAUAAAAUCGAAAAAUUGUAAAAGUGCUAAGGACAUAUGAAUGUGGUGAGUAUACAACAAUGAGUUUGAGGAACUCUGUGUCAAGCAUGAAACUGAAUGGACUGACUAGAGAAGAAACAAAACCAUCCUAGACACGACUAGAAGUAUGUUGAAAGGAAAUGAAUUACCACACAAGUUUUAGGGUGAGGCUGCAUGAACUGUUGUCUACAUCCCGAAUAUGUGUCUAACAUAGAAGCUGCCAGCGGAUAUUUGGAGUGGUGGGAAACCAGUUGUAGGGCACUUAAGGACAAUUGGUGGUCUAUGUUUCAAGCAUGUGCCAGACAAGAAAAGAAGAAAAUUGUAAGACAAAAGUGAAGCCAUGAUCUUGGUUGAGCAUCAUCCAACUAAUACAUACAAACUGUAUGAUCCUACUAAUGAAAAGAUUGUAGUUAGUAGAGAUGUGAAAAUAGUUCUGCAAGAAAAUUAGGACUGGAAAAUGAAGCCAACAACACCAACCAACUCUGGGACUGGAGAUAGAAUCCUAGCAGCACCAGCCAUCACUGGGAACAGGAGACCAACAACAUCAGCCAACGUACACAAAUUCCUGCACCAAUGCUAAAUUAUCAUCAGGCCAGUGGAGACACAAUUGAAGAAAUGCUAGAAUCAAACAAAUCUUAUAAAGCAAGACAACCACCAACACAUUUAAGAGAAUUUGAAGUAUAUAAUGAUAAUGAAAUUGACAACAAGGGAGUUCCAGUACACUUUGCACUAUUUGCAAAUACAUAACCCUUAAAUGUUGAAGAAGCUAUGAAGAAAGUGAAGUAGCAAUACCAAUCACAAGAAAAUGGGGUUUGAAUUGUGAUUUCACCUUUUUUAAAUUUUCUACUAAAACUUAAAGAAUUUAACUCAAGAUUAAUCUUGGUUAUGAAAAUAGAAAACAAAUAACGUUCUUGGUUAGUGAAAAAUACAUAAUUUAAUUUAUCUAUUUAAUUUGAUAAUCAAAAAGCUAGAAAUAAAUAGAGAUAAGGGAAAAGAUAUUACACAUAGAUAUAUUUUGGUUCACCCAACUUGGGUUACGUCCAGUCCUCACAAUCGUGAGAUUUUUCACUAAGUGUUCAAAACGGAGAACAUUAUUGGUUUUUACACCACCAGUCCAGAUCAACCUUGAUCUGUUACAAUAUUCACCUUUCAACCUAGAAAUGAUUUUUACAAUCAGCUUUCAGCCUUGAAAGGAUUUUUACAAUCACAUUUCAGCCUUGAAAGGAUUUUUACAAACACACUCAAUCUAACAUAAAAUAUAGACUUGAGUUACACAUGAUAUGUAUGAUAGAAGUGUGUGGGAUCUUGAAACUUCUCAACACUUGUUUGAGAUAAAUUAAAGACAAACUCAGUAAAUAAUGAUCUAAAGAUAUAGUGAAGAGAGAUGGAGUUUGCUUGAAGAGUUUUUUGAAUUGUUACUUGAACAAGUGUUGGUAGAUUUGUAAAUUGAACUCUUGCCUUUAUCUUCCAAUUGAUCUUCAAUUUAUAUAUGUUAAAAGGCUUUGAAUAUCUAGUUUAAAAUGAAUAUAUCCAUUGGACACACUUCCCAAGUGUCAGAUAUAUUUUGAAGCAAUUAAACAUGAGUUUACUUGUUGUCCAUAAUGUUCUUGACAAAACGGAUAACAUUCUUGCUUUUGGGUCUCAUGGAAAACGUGAAUGAGUUGUCACAUAUUAGUUGACACUGUUUUGAGUCAGGUUUAUGCAUAAAUUUCUGUAGAAUAUUGUAAGUACAAUGUAAUUGUGUCUUGCUCACAACUCAUUAAUUUGAAUAUCAAUCUUGAGGUUGUUUUUCUCUUUUAGACAUUCAGUUCGAGUUCUGGGCUUCACCAUUGAUUUGAGUAGUCUUGAUACUCUUUAAUAUGUGGUUUAUACUAUGGAAAAUUAUCAGUUUUAAUUCUGUCUUUAAAAUAGCAUUAAAACUAGAAUGCUCUUUUGUAAAACAAGAACAUUCUUCGUUUUCUGUUUUGUAUGAGUGUUGGAUUUUGACAACUGUUGUGUGUCAAUCCUUUGUCUCAGAAACAUGAUGUGCUUUUAGCAAAAAGGUUCAGCANNNNNNNNNNNNNNNNNUUCAGCAGCAGUGUCCUUGUUGUCAUGAUUGUCCUUGCUCAUAGCUCAUCAAUUUGAAGAUUGAUCUUGAUGUUUUGCUUUGCCUUUGUUGAUCCUCUUUGAUCGAAUCUAUCCAAAACAAUCUUGUGUAUAUUAUUAAUUUUCUCUAUGAUGAAUGCUAAUGUUUUGUAGUGUAGAUAUAUGUACUUUUGCAGCUCAGAUCUAUCUUAAAUUACAAUAGAUUUUACUCUUUGUAAAUGAGAACGUUCUUGGAUUAAAGUUGUGAAAACGGAGAACACUCUUCGUUUUCUGUUUUAAGUGUAUAACAAUUGGAUAUGAAUUUUGUUUGUAUAGCAAUUGUUCUACAAGUGUACCACUGAUGUAUUUUCUCUUUUGUUCAUAUCUUACUUUGAUUUUAAGUCAUUACUCUAAAGAAUCAAAACUUGUAACUUCAUACAUUGCUUAUGUCAUUCUGAGUUUGUUAAAUGAAUCUGUCUAAGGUUUCCUUGCGUGUUCCAUUCUAAUUAUUCUGAUAGUUACUUGCAAUUUGUCAUGCAUCUUGAUGAGUUAUUAUAGUUUGAAUGAAUCUUGAUUUCCAGAAGGCUUUGUUCUUCGUAAACCAUAAUGUUCUUGGAUUAAUGCUGUUAAAAAUAGAACAUUCUUCGUUUUUCAAACUACUGUCUAGAAUGAUAUUUGUUUUCCAGAAUACUCUCAAGAAUGUUCUUCACUUUUCUGUUUAAUAACCCAAACAUUCUUUGUUUCUCAUAUUUGAUCUUGCUUCUUUUAAAUGAUAUUGCUUCUGGUUUAUAGCAUAAUAUGAUCAUUGAUUGUUGUAUGAAUGCAUUUGACCAUCUUCUUCAUGAAAAUGCUAUCUUGAAGAUGUAAUAAUCAUUCUCUUGAAUGAUUGAUAUAUGAUACAUUCCUUUUAAGAUUAUUUCAUUAUUGAUGCAUUUUGAUGAAGUGAAUGACUUCUUGCUUGUUCACUUAUGCAGUUCAUAAUCUUUAAACAAAACUCAAGUGCAAUCAUUAGUAGACCACCAAUCAUAAAUUUAAUCAUUUAUUUUAUAGAGUUUGUUGUCAUUAACUCAUAUAUCAAAAAGGUUUUUGCCUCAACAUAGAGUAUAUUGGAAUAAAUAAAUGAUAGAAGAAAUGAAGACAAUUAAGAAGAAUCAUACUUGGUACAUGAUUGACUUACCUCCAAAACAAAAGCAAAUAGAAGUUAAAGGGGUCUACAAACUAAAGCUAAAUCCAGACAGAACAAUUGCUAAAUACAAAGCAAGAUUUGUUGUCAAAUGAUUCUUAUAAAUGGCAUACAUAAACUAUUAUGAAGUGUUUGCUCCAGUGUCCAGGAUAUUGCUGUUUAAAAAUUUUCUCACGGGUUUUGAAUCAUUAUCCUCUCAUAGAGGAUGAGAUAAUUUAAGUCUUUAAAUUUGAGCUGAAUAAAUGAUAGAGAAAGUAAAGAAGAUGACACACACAACUUUUAUACUGGUUCGUCCAAUGAAGGUUACGUCCAGUCUUCACACACUUGUGAGUUUUUACUAAAGAUCAAAAUGAUUAAUCUCUCACAGAGGCUGAUUACACUUUGUGUAUUCUUUAACCUUAUCAAGCUUACAACCUUGUUUCUUGCAUGUUCCAACUAUUUCCAAGUGUAACUCACGUAGAAAUUACAAAGUGAUAUGAAUAUGAUAUUUCUCUUAACACUUUCUAAAAUGAUAUUUCAAAGAUCUAGUGUAAGACUAUAUAAAAUAUAAAGAGAUGAUGGAAAUUGCUCUUGAUAGCUUUAAGAAUCUUGCUCUUUUUAUGCAAUGUUGUUGUGUAUUGAUGAUGAAGAGCUCCACGACUUUUAUAGAGAUCUUGUGAUGGUCUUUUCAAAUGUUGAACACUUUAUGACCGUUGGGGACUUAAUUAAAAUGUCCAAGGCCAUGCAUCAUAAUUACAGAACUGUCAUUCAGCUGUCCUUGGACUGAUUGAGUCCAUCCUCGUACAGGAGGUUCAAACCUCCUAUGAACUUGGACGUGAAUUGUCCUUUUCUUUUUCCAUUCUUCAAGUGUCUUGUUAGCUACUACCUUUUUGUAAGUUGAUGUUGGGACGAUUUCAACAUACGAGAGUGGUGUGUUGGGUCGCUUUCAACAUCUAAGGAUGAUCUUGACUAUAGAUCCAUCCUAUAACCUCGUAUAGUCCGUCCUCGUACCUAUUAAAUCUGUCCUCUGACUUAUUUGUUUAAAUUGCUUGAUUUAUUCAUUCUUUGAUACUAAUUUGUCUUCUUUUUUAUGAAUAAAAAACAUUAUUUCAGUGAGGAUGAAUAUUUUGCAACUUUGAAGGUUCAUCCUCUUAGAGGUUCAUCCUCUUGUAUGUCUAUCCUCCAGAAUUGAAUACUUGAAUCAAAUUUUUCUCCUUUUUAUCUUAAUGAUGAAUAACCUAUUUUCUUAUAAGAACUCACUCAAAAGCAUGAAUUAGUCAUUAACCACAAUCAUAAUUUUUUAAAUAAUUUUGUUAUCAUUAAAAUCAUUUGAGAGAGAUUUUGUCUCAACAAAUGACACAUAGGAUAUUUUUGUUAUUAUUGCAUUAGAGAAUAACACAUGUGAUUAAGGAUUAUUAAAGAGUGACACUUGGGAAAUAGUUUAUUUAGAAGUUACUAGGAAAUAUAUAUAUUAUGAUUAAUAGUAUAAAUAUUUCAUGCAAUUGAGAGUGAAAAUAGCUUAGUCGAGUUAUGAUUUAUAAGAAUCGAGUCUCGUUUUUCAAAAAAAUUAAGACAUAUAAGUCUUAUAUGUUGUUUGACGUAAGUUUACGUUUUAGACCGAGUCUAACCUUAAUAUUAGUCUAGUAUGACAUGUUAGUCAACUUAAAAACUUUUUUUAUUUUAACAUAUUUGAAUAAGUAAUCAAACAUAUAUUUAAAUAGAUUAAUGCGUUAAUAUAGCAACGGAAUUAAGUUAUAUUUUAAUAUUUAACAUGACAUUUUGAAGAAUAUGACUUUAUACACAUCAUACUUUAAUUCCAUUUUAUAAUAAUACAUUAAAAUAUGUCAAAAACUAAAGAAGAUUAAUAUGCAUAAAUUACUAAGAGUUUAAUAUAUAACAAAAAUAUCAAAAUUUAAUAUAAUAUAUAAAAAAUAUUAUUUAUAUUUAUUUAAAUAUGUCAGUAUAAUAGACCUAAAAGGCUCAUUAUGUGUAUAUAGUAUAAUUUUUUUGUUUAAUUAAAUAGAUUUUUUUUUACAAUUUUUGACCUAUGUUUUAAAAAAAGAUAUGUGCUAACGUAUGCUAGGUCGUAAACCAUUGUUGAUCGGUCUGAUUUAUUUCCACGCCUACGUACAAUAUUGCACGGAUUAAUAUUCACUCUGAAAAUUUUAAAUUUUUUAAAUAAUAUAUUUUAAUGUUAUGUUGAAUAUGUUAAAACCAAUUAAUCAUGAAUAUAUUUUAAUUUAUUUGUUAGUGAUUUAAAUCCCGUUUAUUACAAUUUUACCUUUUAAAAGAAUUACUUUUUUUAAAAUAAAAAUAAUUACUUUUGUAAGUUUUAGUCUAUUUUUUUUUAUAUCUUUUUGACAAACUUGAGAAUUAAAAAAAUUUAUAUAUAAAAAUUACUUUAAAUGAGAAGUUAUUUUUAGUAAUUUCUAAAAAAAUGAAUUUUAUAACUAAUUUAAAAAAAAUUAUGAAAUAAACAUAAAAUAAAUUUUUUUAUUUCUAAAAAAUAAUUUCUAAAUUACCGAAUACCAAAAUCACUUAUUUUAUAUUUUAUAUAAAACAUAACAUAAUAUAAUUAGAAUAUAUUUCCUCCAAAAUAAAAUAUAUAUAUAUAUAUAUAUAUAUAUAUAUAUAUAUAUAUAUAUGUUGAUUUAAAUUUAUCACUUAUCUUUGGACUCGAUUCCUCAUUUUAAGAUACUCAAUAAAGAUCAAGGGUAUUAAAAGAAGUAGUUAUAAUAAUAUAAACUUGUUAAGAGUUUAUGAUACUUUUGAGGCUUAAUUGUAGUUUUGGUCACUCUAUUUUAGCUGAAUUGCGAAAGUAGUCACUUCAUUUUGUUUAUCUCCAGUUUUGGUUCCCCAAACAGAAUUUUGGUCCAAAACUUGAUGAAAUUUCAUUUUUUUAAAACCGUACUAUACCAUUUAUGAUAAUAGAUUUCAAUUACAAUUGUUGCAAAUGAGAUCUUGAGGCAUGAUGUCACUUAAAUAGAUACAAAAAAAUAAAAUUUCAUCAAGUUUUGGACCAAAAUUCUGUUUGAGGAACCAAAACUGGGGAGAAACAAAAUGGGGAACUACUUUCGCAAUUCAGUUAAAAUAGGAGGACCAAAACUGCAAUUAAGCCUACUUUUAAAUAUUUAGCCUUUUUCAUAUAUCUUUUAUAAAAGAUCAAAAUAUUAUAUUUUUUAAUGGUAAAUUGAAUAUAGGUUUUUCUUCGAUAAUAAAUAAAUACAUGUUGAAUUAUUGUAAUAUUAGAUGAAUAGUUGCUAUUUAUUUUAGAACCAUUAACUCUCUAGAAUUUCUUUAAAAGAUAUCUAUAGUUGAUUGCAAAACACUAAACAUAUAUUCUUAAAGGUAUUAUAAACUAUAUAUCAUUAAAAGUGUGUAGAUACAUCACUCUCAUGUCAUGUUCUCUUUUUAGCUAAAAAAAUGCUCAUUAAUUGUAAAAAUAAAUAAAUUACAUUUCAUAAUCUAUCCUUCGUCAAAACUUGUUCUACGAAUAUAAAAUGUUAAAAAUCUAAAUUGAUUGAUAGAUAAUUAAGAAACAAUAGCAUUAAAUAUAAUUUAAAAUAGUUAAAUUUUACCUAUAUUUUAAAUCGCCCAAAAUAAAUCAUAAACUGUUUACCAUUAAUUGUCUCUUAGCAUUAUUUUUCUUAUGCAUAUCUUUUGUAUGAUCACAUCAUUCUCAUAUAUAUUAUAUAUAUUAUGUACUCUCUUCAAUCUUUUCUAUAUAAAAAAAAAAUAUUUUCGUAUAUUUCAAAAAAGUGUAUAAAAUAAUAAUUACAUUUUAUAAUUUUCCUCUCAUAAAAACUUGUUCAAUUCAUAUAAAAUGUUACAAAUUUGAAUUAAUUGAAGGGUAAUUAAAGAAUCAUAGCAUUAAAUUUUACUAAUAUGUUAGAUCAUUAAACAUAUAAAGGGUUUGUUGCUUAUAUUAAUUCAAUUUUUUUUUGAAAAAAAAUUUCUUUCCACAAAUUGAUAAAAAUUACAUUGAUCAUCAAUAUAAUUUAAAGCUGCUAAAACAAAAACAAUAGAUAUAUGAACAAACUUAUAACACCUAAGUUAAUACCAUAAAAUGACAUAAUGACUAUAAUUGUGACAAAUCCUACAAUUGUCCAAAAUAAACAUGUGUCCGUAACUGGAAAGUUGAAGACGACAAUUUGGGGUGUAUAUGGGUUGGGUUGGGCCAAUUUUGACAAAACCCAAUACCGGACUCAAUCGAUUAUAUUUGAGUUGGGUUAAAUUCUAAACCCGUAUUUUUUUCAUUUAACUCGAACGAAACUAAUCUGAUCAAGAACACGUUGGAUUGAGUUAGGUUGACGGGUUAUACAUAAAUAAUAACCUAUUUUUAAUUUUACGAGAAAAUAUAUUGAAUGAAAAUAUAUUUAAAACUUGAAUGUCUAAAAAACUAUAAAAAUUCAAUCACAUCAUUCAAUUCUUUAAAAAAUCAUCAACCUCUCAUACAAAAAAAUAAAUCGAACAAUCUUCAAAUACAUAAAUAAAUUCAAUAACAAUAAAAUAUAAAAAUUCAUCAAUUCUAAGCAAUGUCAACUUCAAGUAUAAAUACUUAACAAAAUUAUAAGGCCAAAACAAAUUAGAUAUUAAAUUGCGAGAAAAAUUCAGUAUUUAGCCUAGAUGCAUUAACACCUUACAUAAGCAUUCAUAUAAAAAUUAGUUAUUAAUAAUAUUUUAUUAUAACUAAUUUGUAUAAAAAUCAUAACAGUUGUGAGCACUUACACAACAAAAGAAGAAGGUGGACGGCGACGCGACUUCAAGAAGCUACAAAUCUAAAGAGAAAGAGUAAUGAAACCCUAUGAAACUGUUGUGACUGACAAACAAUUUUUUUUGAAAAAAUAUAUAACUAGUUACCGAGUCGGAUUGAAGGGUUCAAAUUGUUAAACCCAUUACCCGAACCAAAUAUAAGUGAGUUUCAACGGGUCGGAAUUGGGUAUGACCUGAAAGUGACUGGAUACAGGUCAAAAUCGGGUUGAGUGAUCUGGUUGGCGGGUCGGCCCGCACCCAUGUACACUCCUUAAUUAAAAUUAAAUAUGUACUUGAUUGAAAUUAAUUUAUCAAUUUAAAUCAAAUGAAUACCACAAAAAACAAAACAUUAAACAUCACAUCAAGACGUAAAAUACCAAUACAAGAAAACUAAAUAUAUAUAUAUAUAUAUAUAUAUAUAUAUAUAAUAUUUAUUUAAUUAAAGAAAAAAAUUAAAAAAGUGAUUUUAAAAUAAACAAUAACCGUAUAUCCCUUUUUAAUAGAUAAAAAAGAAGGUAAAUGUUUGGGAGCUGUUAAUUGUUAUGAAUUGAUUAUAUUAACUCAAUUACUAGUUACCAAUUUAGCAAACAUAUAUUUAUUUUUCUGUGAUAAAUCUGAGUAAUUGAGCAUUAAAAUGUGUGAUAUUGUGACACAUAAGUUUUUAUUGGAUGGUUUAAUAUAGUGACAGAGUGACUCGUUGAAAUUUGAUCCCUUUAACAGUGUAUUUCCCAAUUUAUUAUCUUUUUAAAUGCGCUUUUCUUUACCUCUUGAUUUUUCAAGUUAUUAUGCUUUAAUGAUUUUCAAUGUUUCUCAUUUUGUUGGGCCUUAAUUUAGUGUGAUUAAAUGUGUCUAUUUUUUUUUCAAAUCGUUAUCUAAUAUUGUGAAACCUUUGAAUGUCAGUCAAAGAGAUAUUUUUUAUUUUUAAUGCUUCUGGAUGUUUUAAAAAUUUAGUAGUAGAUAUAUAAAAUAUGUGUGUUUUUUAUUUUAUUUUAUAUAAAUUUGAAAUAUAUCAUUUCCAUCACUAUGUGUACAUAAUUUAUAUUUAAUUUUUUCUUUGCCUUUUCUUUAAUAAUUACCAAAUAUUAAUUGAUUUGAAUAAUUAAUAAAUUUUAACAAUUUAAUUUUUUAUUCUGAGAUUUUUGUUAUAUUUAAAUAAUGCAGUAGCAUAUCUAUAGAAUAUAAUAUCCUUCUAAAUUUAGAAAAGAAUUUUCCCAUUAAUAAUUUAAAUGAUAAUUGAAUUGCAUGAUUUUAAGACGAUAUUGUAUGAAUCAAUGUGAGAGUGUGAAAUGAAGUGUGAGUUACUGAGAGUGUUAAGUGAGAUAUGAGUUAUUUUAUAAAAUAACAAAUAUGAAAGAGUUCGUUAAAAAACUAUUAGUAAAUAUUAUUGAUUAUUAAUGUAAUUGACGCGUGUGAUGCACAAAUUAAUAUUCAUUCAUAAAAUAUAUAUUAUAAUUCACAAAGAAAAGAGAAAUAACAAUUUUACAAAGUUGUUCUAAUUAAAUAUUAGUAUAUUUCAAUUACCAUAAACAUAAAGAAGUGGGAUAAUAAGAGUGGUGAACAUAUUAUUAAUAAGAAGAUAUAUUAGAGGAUAUAAUUUGAAAAAAAGUUGUAUUGAAAACUUGAAGUGUCAUUCUUUUUUAGAUAAGAUAUUUUUGCAAAUGUUACGAUUAUUGUAGGAAUAGAGGAGUAUCCUUCUAUACAAUAAUUUAGAACUUUAUAUUUUGUCAUAUAAGUAUAAUAUAUAUAUAUAUAUAUAUAUAUAUAUAUAUAUAUUAUUGAAGUAUUAUAUUUAUUUAUCAGUUAUGUUUAAUAUUUAUUUAUUUAUUUAUAACAAUUUUGAUGUAAUAUCUUUCAACAAAAUUUUGAUAUAAUAUUGAAAAAAAAUACCAAUGUUCAAAUAAUAUUUAUUUUUCCUCCGCCUCUGCAUUUUAUCAAAAUUCCAAUAAUACCUAUUUAUGUUUAAAUACGUUCCAUAAAUCGCUAAUGUUAAGUUUGACCAUAUUUCAUAAAACUCAAUUUUUAAGUUUUAUUAUACUUAAUUUCUUAAAUUAUAUUAUAUAAAACUCCAAUGAAGAUUUUAUAAAAUAAAUAUAUAUUAUUUACUAUUCCAAAUUUCAAAAUUUGAAUUUCACACUGUAUAUAUAUUUUAAAAAUAAAUACCACAAAACUUAAAUUUAUUAUAUAAUGGAAGUAUAGUAUUAAAAAAUUAUAAAAAUUAAAAAAAAGGGGUUAUUUUUAUUAAUUUAAUAAUUUUAAUGUGGGAGGAUUAGAUGUGGGGAUAUAAAAAAAAAACAUCCUUCCUUAUUUUAUUUUCUUGGGCAUUUUGAAUUUGGGCCACGAUCAAGAGCCCAAAACGAUAUUGCAAUAUUGCAAACCUCAAUGAAACGAUGUCGUAUGAAACUCUAAACUAACAACUUUCUUAUUUAAUCAUUUAUUUUACCUAAAAAAACUUCUACAAGCGAGAAUCCCACGCGUGCACCUCAAUUCCAAGAAAAACCAAUAGAAAAGCCACGAGAGUAACUACGACGCACUUAUCAUAAGUGUGAAACAAAAACGUUCAAAUAAGAAAGCGAGGGUAUAUUCGGAAAUUAAAAAUAAAACGAAGGAUACUUUGGGAAUAUGAAAAAAUCUUUAUGACUAUAAAAAAGUUGUAACCCUAGUUUUUUCAUUACAACUCCUUACUUGUUCUUUCAUUCUUCAGUCUCUCUCUGCGGCUGAGGAUUCCGAACGAGUCUUAGAUUUCAUUUCUUCUUUGGUAACAAACUUUCUUAUCUUCUCUUUUUUAUUCGAUCUAUGUUCAUUUCUGAUGAUUUUGUUCGUUUCGUUUCAUUUAAAUUUGCAUGAUUUGUUUUGUUUUUGAUUUGAUGAUUUUGUUAGGAAAAUUUUGUGAGCUCUUUAUACUCUGUUACAACAUGAGAUCUUGUUAAUAAUUUUUUUUUGUAUGUAAUUGGAUCUAUUAGAACAUGUUUUUAAAUUCUUUUAAAUUUGAUUAUUUGAAGUUGUUUAUAUUCAGCGCUUUUUUGUAUUUUUUUUAUGAUAUGAAAUCAUGUGUAUUGUUAAUGUUAUGAAAUUAUGUUUUUUUUUUUAAUGUUUUAAUUUCUUUUGGUUAGAUCUGAUUUGUUUAAACUGUUUUGGAAUUUGGUGUUGUUAACAAUUAUAGAGCUUAGGUGUAUUAUUUUUUUGACAGUUGUUUAUUCAAAGUUUUUUCUUUUACCUCUUUGAGUAUAUAUUUGUCGAGUCCAUCGUCGAUAUGAUUCUCAUGUAAUAAAAUUUUUGUAUAAUGUUAACAAUUUGAUUUAUCUGUGUUUUGAUUACUCUUUGAUAAAUAUUUUUUUUAUAAAUUUGCUGUUGUAAACAAUUGAUGACUAUGUUAGAGGCUGUUUGUUAUUUUGUCUGCUCAAUUAUCAUGUUGUUAAAUUGCUAAUUAACGUGAUUUAAUUUGAGCAUAUUUUUUCUGACUUUUGAAACUCUUCUGAAUUUCUGAAUUGCAGCUAAGAUAUCAUGGGUAAAGAAAAGUUUCAUAUCAACAUUGUCGUCAUUGGACAUGUCGACUCUGGAAAAUCAACCACCACUGGUCACUUGAUCUACAAGCUUGGAGGUAUUGACAAGCGUGUCAUUGAGAGGUUCGAGAAGGAGGCUGCUGAGAUGAACAAACGUUCAUUCAAGUACGCCUGGGUGCUCGACAAGCUUAAGGCUGAGCGUGAAAGAGGUAUUACCAUCGAUAUUGCCUUGUGGAAAUUCGAGACCACCAAGUACUACUGCACAGUCAUCGAUGCCCCCGGACAUCGUGAUUUCAUUAAGAACAUGAUUACUGGUACCUCCCAAGCUGAUUGUGCUGUCCUUAUCAUUGACUCCACCACUGGUGGUUUUGAGGCUGGUAUCUCUAAGGAUGGACAGACCCGUGAGCACGCCCUUCUUGCUUUCACUCUUGGAGUGAAACAGAUGAUCUGUUGUUGUAACAAGGUAAAUUUCUAAUAUUUUAAUUUAUCUGUACAUCAUUAGUAUUAUUUUUAUUAUUAUGAAUUGUUAAUAUAGACUCUACGUUAAUUUUCUAGAUAUCAGUUUUAAACCUAUAAUCGACAUUUAUCAUUACCAUUUCUAGGUUAAUUGAAUAUAAUUUCAUUGUAUACGUAAAAUUAUUGCUCUCAUUUGUUGGUUGAGUUGCAGAUUUUAACAUUGCUUGCUAUAUUCUGUUUCAGAUGGAUGCCACUACACCCAAGUACUCAAAGGCCAGGUACGAUGAAAUCGUGAAGGAAGUUUCUUCAUACUUGAAGAAGGUUGGUUACAACCCUGACAAAAUCCCCUUCGUUCCAAUCUCUGGAUUUGAGGGAGACAACAUGAUUGAGAGGUCCACCAACCUUGACUGGUACAAGGGACCAACUCUCCUUGAGGCUCUUGACCAGAUCAACGAGCCCAAGAGACCCUCAGACAAGCCCCUCAGGCUUCCAUUGCAAGAUGUUUACAAGAUCGGUGGUAUUGGAACUGUGCCAGUCGGACGUGUUGAGACUGGAGUCAUCAAGCCUGGUGUGAUCGUUACCUUUGGCCCUACCGGUCUGACAACUGAAGUUAAGU
RNAcentral lists this long non-coding RNA (23006 nucleotides) under Cicer arietinum (chickpea). Its description in RNAcentral is "long non-coding RNA (CARI_LNC000395)". Lineage: Eukaryota; Viridiplantae; Streptophyta; Magnoliopsida; Fabales; Fabaceae. The record is from RNAcentral.